CGGUUAAGUUAGAAAGGGCGCACGGUGGAUGCCUUGGCACUAGGAGCCGAUGAAGGACGGGACGAACACCGAUAUGCUUCGGGGAGCUGUAAGCAAGCUUUGAUCCGGAGAUUUCCGAAUGGGGAAACCCACCACUCGUAAUGGAGUGGUAUCCAUAUCUGAAUACAUAGGAUAUGAGAAGGCAGACCCGGGGAACUGAAACAUCUAAGUACCCGGAGGAAGAGAAAGCAAAUGCGAUUCCCUGAGUAGCGGCGAGCGAAACGGGACCAGCCCAAACCAAGAGGCUUGCCUCUUGGGGUUGUAGGACACUCUGUACGGAGUUACAAAGGAACGAGGUAGAUGAAGAGGUCUGGAAAGGCCCGCCAUAGGAGGUAACAGCCCUGUAGUCAAAACUUCGUUCUCUCCUGAGUGGAUCCUGAGUACGGCGGAACACGUGAAAUUCCGUCGGAAUCCGGGAGGACCAUCUCCCAAGGCUAAAUACUCCCUAGUGACCGAUAGUGAACCAGUACCGUGAGGGAAAGGUGAAAAGCACCCCGGAAGGGGAGUGAAAGAGAUCCUGAAACCGUGUGCCUACAAGUAGUCAGAGCCCGUUAACGGGUGAUGGCGUGCCUUUUGUAGAAUGAACCGGCGAGUUACGAUCCCGUGCAAGGUUAAGCAGAAGAUGCGGAGCCGCAGCGAAAGCGAGUCUGAAUAGGGCGAAUUGAGUACGUGGUCGUAGACCCGAAACCAGGUGAUCUACCCAUGUCCAGGGUGAAGUUCAGGUAACACUGAAUGGAGGCCCGAACCCACGCACGUUGAAAAGUGCGGGGAUGAGGUGUGGGUAGGGGUGAAAUGCCAAUCGAACCUGGAGAUAGCUGGUUCUCUCCGAAAUAGCUUUAGGGCUAGCCUCAAGGUAAGAGUCUCGGAGGUAGAGCACUGAUUGGACUAGGGGCCCCUACCGGGUUACCGAAUUCAGUCAAACUCCGAAUGCCGAUGACUUAUCCUUGGGAGUCAGACUGCGAGUGAUAAGAUCCGUAGUCGAAAGGGAAACAGCCCAGACCGCCAGCUAAGGUCCCAAAGUAUACGUUAAGUGGAAAAGGAUGUGGAGUUGCUUAGACAACCAGGAUGUUGGCUUAGAAGCAGCCACCAUUUAAAGAGUGCGUAAUAGCUCACUGGUCGAGUGACUCUGCGCCGAAAAUGUACCGGGGCUAAACGUAUCACCGAAGCUGCGGACUGUUCUUCGAACAGUGGUAGGAGAGCGUUCUAAGGGCUGUGAAGCAAGACCGGAAGGACUUGUGGAGCGCUUAGAAGUGAGAAUGCCGGUAUGAGUAGCGAAAGAGGGGUGAGAAUCCCCUCCACCGAAUGCCUAAGGUUUCCUGAGGAAGGCUCGUCCGCUCAGGGUUAGUCGGGACCUAAGCCGAGGCCGAAAGGCGUAGGCGAUGGAUAACAGGUUGAUAUUCCUGUACCACCUCCUCACCAUUUGAGCAAUGGGGGACGCAGGAGGAUAGGGUAAGCGCGGUAUUGGAUAUCCGCGUCCAAGCAGUUAGGCUGGGAAAUAGGCAAAUCCGUUUCCCGUGAAGGCUGAGCUGUGAUGGCGAGCGAAUUAUAGUAGCGAAGUUCCUGAUUCCACACUGCCAAGAAAAGCCUCUAGCGAGGUGAGAGGUGCCCGUACCGCAAACCGACACAGGUAGGCGAGGAGAGAAUCCUAAGGUGAUCGAGAGAACUCUCGUUAAGGAACUCGGCAAAAUGACCCCGUAACUUCGGGAGAAGGGGUGCUCUGUUAGGGUGCAAGCCCGAGAGAGCCGCAGUGAAUAGGCCCAGGCGACUGUUUAGCAAAAACACAGGUCUCUGCGAAGCCGUAAGGCGAAGUAUAGGGGCUGACGCCUGCCCGGUGCUGGAAGGUUAAGAGGAGCGCUUAGCGUAAGCGAAGGUGCGAAUUGAAGCCCCAGUAAACGGCGGCCGUAACUAUAACGGUCCUAAGGUAGCGAAAUUCCUUGUCGGGUAAGUUCCGACCCGCACGAAAGGCGCAACGAUCUGGGCACUGUCUCAACGAGAGACUCGGUGAAAUUAUAGUACCUGUGAAGAUGCAGGUUACCCGCGACAGGACGGAAAGACCCCGUGGAGCUUUACUGCAGCCUGAUAUUGAAUGUUGGUACAGCUUGUACAGGAUAGGUAGGAGCCUUGGAAACCGGAGCGCCAGCUUCGGUGGAGGCAUCGGUGGGAUACUACCCUGGCUGUAUUGACCUUCUAACCCGCCGCCCUUAUCGGGCGGGGAGACAGUGUCAGGUGGGCAGUUUGACUGGGGCGGUCGCCUCCUAAAAGGUAACGGAGGCGCCCAAAGGUUCCCUCAGAAUGGUUGGAAAUCAUUCGCAGAGUGUAAAGGCACAAGGGAGCUUGACUGCGAGACCUACAAGUCGAGCAGGGACGAAAGUCGGGCUUAGUGAUCCGGUGGUUCCGCAUGGAAGGGCCAUCGCUCAACGGAUAAAAGCUACCCCGGGGAUAACAGGCUUAUCUCCCCAAGAGUCCACAUCGACGGGGAGGUUUGGCACCUCGAUGUCGGCUCAUCGCAUCCUGGGGCUGUAGUCGGUCCCAAGGGUUGGGCUGUUCGCCCAUUAAAGCGGUACGCGAGCUGGGUUCAGAACGUCGUGAGACAGUUCGGUCCCUAUCCGUCGCGGGCGCAGGAAAUUUGAGAGGAGCUGUCCUUAGUACGAGAGGACCGGGAUGGACGCACCGCUGGUGUACCAGUUGUUCUGCCAAGGGCAUCGCUGGGUAGCUAUGUGCGGACGGGAUAAGUGCUGAAAGCAUCUAAGCAUGAAGCCCCCUCAAGAUGAGAUUUCCCAUUCCGCAAGGAAGUAAGAUCCCUGAAAGAUGAUCAGGUUGAUAGGUCUGAGGUGGAAGUGUGGCGACACAUGGAGCUGACAGAUACUAAUCGAUCGAGGACUUAACCAAUUU
Molecule: ribosomal RNA, 2931 nt
Filed under: Bacillus velezensis
Lineage: Bacteria; Bacillati; Bacillota; Bacilli; Caryophanales; Bacillaceae
Description: 23S ribosomal RNA
Rfam family: Bacterial large subunit ribosomal RNA
Source: RNAcentral